Molecule: long non-coding RNA, 4343 nt
Organism: Betta splendens (Siamese fighting fish)
Lineage: Eukaryota; Metazoa; Chordata; Actinopteri; Anabantiformes; Osphronemidae
Source: Ensembl
AACUCCCGGGCCUGCAGCCAGCGGCCGCUUCAUGUCCCACCUCUCAGUCAGGUCAGCCUCGCCAUGCUCAUGCCCUGGUGCAGCCCUGUCGCCUCCAGGCCCCAGCCCAGUCGAACCUAGUCCAGACCCCAGAUCAGCCGUGUGUUGCCCAGACCCCAGAUCAGCCGUGUGUCACCCAGACCCCAGAUCAGCCGUGUGUCGCCCAGACCCCAGAUCAGCCGUGUGUCGCCCAGACCCCAGAUCAGCCGUGUGUCGCCCAGACCCCAGAUCAGCCGUGUGUCGCCCAGACCCCAGAUCAGCCGUGUGUCGCCCAGACCCCAGAUCAGUCGUGUGUUGCCCAGACCCCAGUUCCGUCCUUGUCCCCGUCAGAGGGCACCGCCCGUCUGACGAUUGUUAACCCCACCCAAUCAGGCCCGACGUCUUCCCUGUCGAGCUCGGCAGCUGUAAGCUGUCAUGCCAGCUCCGGAGUUGACGCCGUUCCAGUCCCUGUCGGCCAUGUUGCGGCCGUUCCAGUUUCUGUCGGCCAUGUUGAGGUCGUUCCAGUUCCUGUCGGCCAUGCUGAGGUCGUUCCAGUUCCUGUCGGCCAUGUUGAGGUCGUUCCAGUUCCUGUCGGCCAUGUUGAGGUCGUUCCAGUUCCUGUCGGCCAUGUUGAGGUCGUUCCUGUCCCUGUCGGCCAUGUUGAGGUCGUUCCUGUCCCUGUCGGCCAUGUUGAGUUCGUUCCAGUUCCUGUCCCUGUCGGCCAUGUCGAGGUCGUUCCAGUUCCUGUCCCUGUCGACCAAAUUGAGGUCGUUCCAGUUCCUGUUCCUGUCGGCCAAGUUGAGGUCGUUCCAGUUCCUGUCGGCCAUGUUGAGGUCGUUCCAGUUCCUGUUCCUGUCGGCCAUGUUGAGGUCGUUCCUGUCCCUGUCGACCAAAUUGAGGUCGUUCCAGUUCCUGUCCCUGUCGGCCAUGUCGAGGUCGUUCCAGUUCCUGUCCCUGUCGGCCAUGUCGAGGUCGUUCCAGUUCCUGUCCCUGUCGACCAAAUUGAGGUCGUUCCUGUUCCUGUCGGCCAAGUUGAGGGCGUUCCCGUAGGCCAAGUUGAGGGCGUUCCCGUAGGCCAAGUUGAGGGCGUUCCCGUAGGCCAAGUUGAGGGCGUUCCCGUAGGCCAAGUUGAGGGCGUUCCCGUAGGCCAAGUUGAGGGCGUUCCCGUAGGCCAAGUUGAGGGCGUUCCCGUAGGCCAAGUUGAGGGCGUUCCCGUAGGCCAAGUUGAGGGCGUUCCCGUAGGCCAAGUAGAGGUCACCCCUGUCUCUGACCCCGUUCCUGCCGACCCUGUAGCGGUCGUUCCAGUCCCCGUUCCUGCCGGCCCUGUAGCGGUCGUUCCAGUCCCCGUUCCUGCCGACCCUGUAGCGGUCGUUCCAGUCCCCGUUCCUGCCGACCCUGUAGCGGUCGUUCCAGUCCCCGUUCCUGUCGACCCUGUAGCGGUCGUUCCAGUCCCCGUUCCUGUCGGCCCUGUAGCGGUCGUUCCAGUCCCCGUUCCUGUCGGCCCUGUAGCGGUCGUUCCAGUCCCCGUCACCCGUGGAGCCGUAGCGCCCGCCGGCCCCCAGGAGGAGGUCGCGCCAGCUACAGCUCCUGCGCGCCUCCAGGAGGAGGUCGCGCCAGCCGCAGUUCCUGCGCGCCUCCAGGAGGAGGUCGCGCCAGCCGCAGUUCCUGCGCGCCUCCAGGAGGAGGUCGCGCCAGCCGCAGUUCCUGCGCGCCUCCAGGAGGAGGCCGCGCCAGCCGCAGUUCCUGCGCGCCUCCAGGAGGAGGCCGCGCCAGCCGCAGUUCCUGCGCGCCUCCAGGAGGAGGCCGCGCCAGCCGCAGUUCCUGCGCGCCUCCAGGAGGAGGUCGCGCCAGCCGCAGUCCCGGCGGAUCCCCAGGAGGGGGUCGCGUCAGCCGCAGUCCCGGCGGAUCCCCAGGAGGGGGUCGCGCCCGUCGCAGUCCCGGCGGACCCCCAGGAGGGGGUCGCGCCCGUCGCAGUUCCUGCCGACCUCCAGGAGUGGGUCGCUCCCGUCGUAGUUCCUGCCGACCUCCAGGAGGGGGUCGCUCCCGUCGUAGUUCCUGCCGACCUCCAGGAGGGGGUCGCUCCCGUCGUAGUUCCUGCCGACCUCCAGGAGGGGGUCGCUCCCGCCGUAGUUCCUGCCGACCUCCAGGAGGGGGUCGCUCCCGUCGUAGUUCCUGCCGACCUCCAGGAGGGGGUCGCUCCCGUCGUAGUUCCUGCCGACCUCCAGGAGGGGGUCGCUCCCGUCGUAGUUCCUGCCGACCUCCAGGAGGGGGUCGCUCCCCGUCGUAGUUCCUGCCGACCUCCAGGAGGGGGUCGCUCCCGCCGUAGUUCCUGCCGACCUCCAGGAGGGGGUCGCUCCCGUCGUAGUUCCUGCCGACCUCCAGGAGGGGGUCGCUCCCGUCGUAGUUCCUGCCGACCUCCAGGAGGGGGUCGCUCCCGUCGUAGUUCCUGCCGACCUCCAGGAGGGGGUCGCUCUCGUCGUAGUUCCUGCCGACCUCCAGGAGGGGGUCGCUCCCGUCGUAGUUCCUGCCGACCUCCAGGAGGGGGUCGCUCCCGUCCCGGCUCCGGCCGCACCGGCAUCGGUUCCUGGCGGCCCGGUUCCGGCUGCUCCUGCAUCGGUUCCUGCCUCUCGUCGCGGUGGGCCAAGGAGGACGCCGCUGGUCCCUGCCUCGUCCUCGUCUCGGCCGCCGGACUGGUGGUCUUGCCCUCGGCGCCUCCUGCUGCCCGGAUGGCGCUGCCCUCCUGCGGCGACGUCCGCCUCGACUCCUCAGCCCAUUGGAUCAGCGUCCGCCUGGAGGACGUUGCCAUUCGGGGUGGCUCCCGGGGACAUCGGUCCAGCCCAAGGGCACUAAGAGUGCCACCCUGGCUCAGCGGCUGCUGAGCAGGGUCUCGCCACGCCGUCACCCUCCGUGACGGAAUCUCUGAACUUCAUGUCUUCCCUGGUCGCGGACUUUGUUGUGGACUUUUGUUUUGGCCCUCCCCCGGUCCUCCCUCCACCCACCCUGCUCAUGUACCUUGAGGGGUAGGGAUUCGGUCCCUCCGCCUGGGACCACCCUCCGCCCGCCCUGGUUUGGGGGGGGGGCUUCCGUAGGCGCCGUGGAAGGCGCCAUGGGGGGGGGGUACUGUCAUGAUCUGUGUUUUUGUUCUUGUCAUGAUCUGUGUUUUUGUUCUAGCUGAUUCCUUGUCUUAUUUUGGUUCCAGGUUCCGUUUCCUGUUUUAUUUUGGUAGUCCCCCGGUCUCUGUUUUGUGUUCUAGCUUCACUCCCGAGUCAUGUCACGUCACAGCUGUUCUUGUUUCACCCGGUCGUUAUCCUCACCUGCGCUGCAUCAGUAAUCACUCACCCGUGUAUUUAGUCACCUCCUGUUCCCGUAGUCACUUGCCAGAUUGUCGUUUCGAGUCCCAUGAGUGUAUCCUUGUUUCCUGUAUUUCCUGAAUGUUCGUGCUUCUCGUGUUUUGUUCCUGUUCGCAUCGUGUAUCCUGCCCGACCCCGGAUUACCUACUUACCGUGAGUUUUUGCCUGUUCCCUGCCUGUACUCUUGCCGAGCCUUUUUGUGUUGACCUGGACCGUCUGACCGUGUCUUAAGGAAUAAAUCUUUUGUUAAUUAUAAUAUCGUCUCCGUGCUGUGCAUGUGGGUCCGCCGCCCGCCCGAGUUCCUGACACCUUUCACAUACUGUAACUGUGCAGUCUGGUCAAUAUAUAAUAUAAUAUAUGCUUAUUAUAAACACUAUAUGUAUAUUUUACUGUAUAAUGUCUAUAGGAGUGUGUUGAAGCCUUAAGCAGCUCAACUCAGCCAUUAAAAACCUCCUCCUCCCGUUUGCAUUGAUUUAUUGAAAUACUGCAUGUGUGCAGCUCUAAUGCGGAGCGUGUUCUAAGCCAAUGAUCAAACCUUCGCUCCGCUCUCUGUCACAGGGCAGCGGUCCAGCACUUUGGGCCCGACUCGAGUAGCUCGUAAAACCCUGCACAGACGCUGACGGUCCCCAGAGGCUGAAUCCCAUCACUUUAUGGCACCCACUUAUGGGCUAAGGUUUGUCUUUUGAGCGAGACGUCCCACAGCUAUCGGAUGGAAUGGGCUGCAGCUGUUGGCGUCUGCAGAAUGACGACUCCCGAUGACUUUGAUGCGGUUGUGGCUCCGAGUGAGACGCCACCGACAACAGCGUCGUCUUCACGUCGUCCUCAGUCUGGAAUCAGCAUUUAGCGCCACGCCCUGCAUCCCACACAGUUCUGCUCCUCGUCCCAAUUCUUCCUCCACGAGUCGUGUGACUGUAUUUUGUCUUUAUUACAACGAGCAGAAACUAAUCAAGGAGAUCGCAAUUAACGACCUAAGUG